AAUUUUCCUCGUAUAGAAUGAGAAAACCACUCUGAAAUUUUCCUCGUAUAGAAUGAGAAAACCACUCUGAAUUUUUUUUCUGAAAUUAUAUAAAUUUCUUGAAGGAAGGGGAGAUAUGUCACAAUGUGACUGGGAUUUCUUUUUUAGACAGAGAAUGUAAUGGACAGGUGUUAGAUGAAUAGAUGUUGUUGGUAGCAAUUUACUAGGUCAACUAACUUGGAUUUACUAGGUCAACUAACUUGGGUCUCUAGUAGAGCAGGUGUCUGUCUUUGUCUGUGUGUGGGGAAAGGAUGAGGAGAAUGUUAAUAGGAAAGUUUUGUAUAGAGGAUUCAGUAAAAGGAAUUUGGAUGGACAGUUUUGGCAUGAGAGGAAUACAAAGAAUGUUAAGGAGGUUACUAUUGAGAGAGCCAACGUGGAUUAGAGAUUUAGGGUAGUUUAAUCAGAUUGCACAUGAGAUCUCGAGAGGAGCAGACCUUUCAGAAUUUGGUCUGACUUUGGGGAGUGAAUGAGGGGUGUUGGCCACGAAGGUAAAAGUUACAGCCACAGGCUAUAAGCAUGCUGUUGCUGGCAUAGACUUUCCCUAUACUAUGGGACCAGGCAAGAACCAGGCAGCACAGGCCGACGUGGUAGAAGCCUCAUCAGCCCUCGCCUCGACUUGGAUCAUCAUUUGAACAUCUGAACUGGACAAGCUGGGCUCGUAGCCAUAACCCUAGGCACCAUCAGUGAAUGGACAUGUGUUCGUAGUCGACACGCUCAGGCAACCUACUCGCGUCAAGUCGUUGAGUCAACGCCCAGUGCUGUCGUACACCGGUCAGGCUUAGCAGGUCAUGCAUCAUAUCGCACCGGGUUACUACAUACACCAGAGUAUUUCGUUCCGCCUAUUCAGAAACAGGAAGAGGUGGUAUUUACGAACUCUAAAUCGGGACUCUCUAACCCACAACAGUAUACUUUUUAUAUAAAGACCGGGCUAGAGUCGGUGGGAGAUUAACUGUAUUAUACCUCGAAGGAUGACCUGGUCAUCAGGUAAUCUUUUUUCCUUUGGAAAUAUGGAGAAUUAUAUUGUGAUAUAAUUGAGUAACGAUAAGUCGACAUAAACAGUGAUAGGAUAUACUCCUAUCUAAGUUCAUAGUGAUGCUGAAUCAUUUUAUUCUUGUCAAUUAUUUGCAUGUUUAAUUAUAUAGAGCCGAUGGCUCUUAAAUAAAUUGUUUGUACACUAUA
Molecule: long non-coding RNA, 1218 nt
Filed under: Strongylocentrotus purpuratus (purple sea urchin)
Lineage: Eukaryota; Metazoa; Echinodermata; Echinoidea; Camarodonta; Strongylocentrotidae
Description: uncharacterized LOC115923097
Source: RNAcentral